This is a long non-coding RNA of Gopherus agassizii (Agassiz's desert tortoise), 814 nucleotides long. Lineage: Eukaryota; Metazoa; Chordata; Testudines; Testudinidae. The record is from Ensembl.
GAGACAGAAAGAGGCUCAAACCUGGAUCCGGAGCCUCUGCUGCCUGAGAAGAGAGGAGGGGAAAAAAAAAACACUCCCACCCUCACACACAUACAUACACUCUGCCGCUGUAAUGUUAUUAGAGCUACAGAGCGGAUCACUCUGGUCUCUUCUGCUCUCUCUCUUUUCUCUUCAGAAAUUAAAGCAGAGCUGCAUCUGAGAGUGGAAAAGGUCCCCCUUCUGUUAUAACAUUCUUGGAUGCUGUGGAACCUGGCUGCUGCCACACUGCGUGUAUGUGAUUUAUAAAAGGGUGUGCAUAUGUAUAUAGAAAUUCCACCUUCUACUGCAACAGAAGACUUAUCAGCGCCAGAUUCCUAAAACAGCAUCUUGCCACAGCUGUACAUCUUACAGCACUGGAGGAGAAAGAUUUCUAAGAGGUCUAACAAUGGGUCAGAUCAUUCCUCUACCUGCGACAAACCUUCACAAGAAACAGGGAACUUCCUUGAGGAGUUUUCUCUGGACCAUUCAAUCAGAGAGGUUUAUGUAGUGAACCAGCAGAGGUUACUACAUGCAAGCAGCCAAAUCCUGGAGGAUCAGCCACUUAAAGAGCCAAGAAGCUGGAGGAUUCCAGGACAAAUGGGAAGAGUUGGGGGGGCAUCAUCUUGGCAGGAUUAUGGACAGGAGCCCUCAGUGGAAGGAAGAAGGACUGCGUUCAACAUCUUGGAUGUCAGUGUGAAUGACCCCCAGAAAAAGACUGUAUUGGGACUGUUAGACUGGGGCUGCAGGUGAACACUUUGGAUUUAAGAUGUGUCCCAAGAGGAAGUGACAGCUGAAG